GAGGCAAUAACAGGUCUGUGAUGCCCUUAGAUGCUCGGGGCUGCACGCGCACUACACUGGACGAGACAACAGGUUGGUUGGCCGAGAGGUCUGCCAAAGCGAGAAUCUCGUCCGUGGCUGGGAUAGACGGUUGGAACUCCGUCUUGAACAAGGAACUCUUAGUAAGCGUGCCUCAUAACGGCGCGUUGAUUAAGUCCCUGCUUCUUGUACACACCGCCCGUCGCUGUUUCCGAUGGAUAGAUUAGUGAGGCGCCUGGAUGGACACUUUGUGUUGAGAAGGGCUACGAACUUGUUUAUCUAGAGGAAGUAAAAGUCGUAACAAGGUUUCCGUAGGUGAACCUGCGGA
Molecule: ribosomal RNA, 346 nt
Filed under: uncultured fungus
Lineage: Eukaryota; Fungi
Description: bacterial SSU rRNA
Rfam family: Eukaryotic small subunit ribosomal RNA
Source: RNAcentral